AUCUGUUUAUUAAUAAUAAUUACUUUUUCAGCCAGUGAAUUUGUAAUUUCGCUGAUUCAAAUGUACGAAGCGAAUUAUCCAGAAAUACUUAAAGCGUGCUACAUAAUUAACGCACCCCGGGUUUUCUCAGUGGCCUUUGCUGUUGUAAAGAGAUUCCUAAACGAUUAUACCCUCGG
Long non-coding RNA from Agrilus planipennis (emerald ash borer), 176 nucleotides. RefSeq lists it as uncharacterized. The record is from RefSeq and is a predicted model, not a curated record. Lineage: Eukaryota; Metazoa; Arthropoda; Insecta; Coleoptera; Buprestidae. The transcript is spliced from 2 exons.